AGUUCGAUUCUGGCUCAGAUUGAACGCUGGCGGGAUGCUUUACACAUGCAAGUCGAACGGCAGCACGGACUUCGGUCUGGUGGCGAGUGGCGAACGGGUGAGUAAUGUAUCGGAACGUGCUCAGUAGUGGGGAUAACUACGCGAAAGCGUAGCCAAUACCGCAGCUGCCCUCGGGGGAAAGCGGGGACCUUUCGCCUUGCACUCUAGGAGCGGCCGAUAUCGGAUUAGCUAGUUGGUGGGGUAACGGCUCCUCACCAAGGCGACGAUCCGUAGCUGGUUUGAGAGGACGACCAGCCACACUGGGACUGAGACACGGCCCAGACUCCUACGGGAGGCAGCAGUGGGGAAUUUUGAUAAUGGGGAAACUCCUGAUCCAGCCAUCCUGGGCGUGUGCGAUGAAGGCCUUCGGGUUGGGGGUGCCACCCCCGGCAGGAAAGAAACGGCACGGAUAAUACCCCGUGCAACUGACGGUACCUGCAGAAUAAGCGGCACCGGCUAACUACGCCAGCAGCCGCGGUAAUACGUAGGGUGCAAGCGUUAAUCGGAAUUACCGGGCGUAAAGCGUGCGCAGGCGGUUCGGAAAGAAAGAUGUGAAAUCCCAGAGCUUAACUUUGGAACUGCAUUUUUAACUACCGAGCUAGAGUGUGUCAGAGGGAGGUGGAAUUCGCGUGUAGCAGUGAAAUGCGUAGAUAUGCGGAGGAACACCGAUGGCGAAGGCAGCCUCCUGGGGAUAACACCGACGCUCAUGCACGAAAGCGUGGGGAGCAAACAGGAUUAGAUACCCUGUAGUCCACGCCCUAAACGAUGUCAACCGCUGUUGGGGCCUUCGGGCCUUGCAGCGCAGCCAACGCGUGAAGUUGACCGCCUGGGGAGUACGAAGUCGCAAGAUUAAAACUCCGUGCGCGAAUUGAUUUCUGGGACCCGCACAAGCGGAUGAUGUGGAUUAAUUCGAUGCAACGCGAAAAACCUUACCUACCCUUGACAUGUCUGGAAUCCCGAAGAGAUUUGGGAGUGCUCGCAAGAGAACCGGAACACAGGUGCUGCAUGGCUGUCGUCAGCUCGUGUCGAGAUGUUGGGUUAAGUCCUGCAACGAGUAACCCUUUGCUGGCUGUUACGAAAAGGCACUCUAAUGAGACUGCCGGUGACAAACCGAGGAAGGUGGGGAUGACGUCAAGUCCUCAUGGCCCUUAUGGGUAGCUUCACACGUCAUACAUCGGUCGGGACAGAGGGUCGCCAACCCGCGAGGGGGGAGCCAAUCCCAGAAACCCGAUCGUAGUCUCGAUCGCAGUCUGCAACUCGACUGCGUGAAGUCGGAAUCGCUAGUAAUCGCGGAUCAGCAUGUCGCGGUGAAUACGUUCCCGGGUCUUGUACACACCGCCCGUCACACCAUGGGAGUGGGUUUUACCAGAAGUAGUUAGCCUAACCGUAAGGAGGGCGAUUACUUACGGCAGGAUUCAUGAUUUGGGUGAAGUCGUAUUUGAAGGGGUAA
RNAcentral lists this ribosomal RNA (1489 nucleotides) under uncultured Bordetella sp. RNAcentral describes it as "partial 16S-23S ribosomal RNA intergenic spacer". It matches the Rfam family "Bacterial small subunit ribosomal RNA". The record is from RNAcentral. Lineage: Bacteria; Pseudomonadati; Pseudomonadota; Betaproteobacteria; Burkholderiales; Alcaligenaceae.